UACAGAGGGUGCGAGCGUUGUCCGGAAUUACUAGGCGUAAAGGGCAGGUAGGUGGUUUGGUAAGUCUGUCGUUAAAACGUUCGGCUCAACUGGACGAGGUCGACGGAUACUGCCAGGCUUGAGUGUGGGAGAGGGUACUGGAAUUCCCGGUGUAGCGGUGAAAUGCGCAGAGAUCGGGAGGAACACCGAUGGCGAAAGCAGGUACCUGGACCAUUACUGACACUCAGCUGCGAAAGCUAGGGGAGCAAAC
Molecule: ribosomal RNA, 250 nt
Filed under: uncultured bacterium
Lineage: Bacteria
Description: partial 16S ribosomal RNA
Rfam family: Bacterial small subunit ribosomal RNA
Source: RNAcentral